GUGUUCUCAGUUGUCUUCAAAAGGAGGACACGAACCAAAACAAAAGAACAGCUGUCCUACUUGGUCUUCCAUGCUACCUUGCAGAAGAUUCCUCUGACAUAAUCAGGAUGUGUGAUGCUCAUGGUGAAACCCUUGACGUGCUAAUGAGCGGGAUGCAAGUUGGACUGUUGAUUGGACACGAAGGCCCUCUGCAUGAUGCAUUUCCAUUGGAUGUUUUCAACGUGGCUCUGGUAGUAGAGGAGAAGAUCAUCCUACAUGACCUCCGAGAUGUGUCCACAGGCUUUGCCAUGUUACUGGGUGCAAUCUACUGCCUAAACCUUGAGUACCCACGUAAUAUGAAGUAUUCUUUUGAGUUCCUGCAGAGGGUUGUCAUGAACAUUAAACCGGACCAAUGUUCAGCCAGAAUCCAUGGACUCAGAAAUAAACUGCUUAGAUAUCGCAUGUAAACAAAGAAAUGCACUCGUCAAGCAACUACUAGGAGGCAGCAGUUAUUUGGGAAGCUUGCCUUGUUCUUUACACUAGCAUACAGGUUUUCAUCGGCUUAGUUUGUUCAGCACAAGUCAGGUAUGCGUGACAAAUGUGUCACUUGUGAAGUUGAAAAAUCUGAAAUUGUUGAAAAAUCUAAAAUAGUUCAAAUGUGCAAAACAUUUUGAGGUAUAAUGAAAACAAACUUGUUUCGAAUUGUGGUUAAAGAA
Molecule: long non-coding RNA, 695 nt
Organism: Eleginops maclovinus (Patagonian blennie)
Lineage: Eukaryota; Metazoa; Chordata; Actinopteri; Perciformes; Eleginopidae
Exons: 3
Source: RefSeq, a predicted model, not a curated record